GCCGGCAGCUAGUACAUUCAGCAGCUAGCUCUGCAACUCUCACAUGGUCACCCACUGAAGCUAAGCUGGGCUGCACCUGGUCAGUACCUGGAUGGGAGACCAUAUGGAAAAGCUACAGUAGGUUGCUGCCAGAA
Molecule: ribosomal RNA, 134 nt
Filed under: Danio rerio (zebrafish)
Lineage: Eukaryota; Metazoa; Chordata; Actinopteri; Cypriniformes; Danionidae
Source: RNAcentral